This 386-nucleotide ribosomal RNA is filed under the name uncultured organism. Its description in RNAcentral is "bacterial SSU rRNA". It matches the Rfam family "Bacterial small subunit ribosomal RNA", at positions 45 to 433 of the family's 1533-position model. The record is from RNAcentral.
UGUCUAAGGCAUGCAAGUCGAAGGAUCGGCCCCGCAAGGGGCAUGGACUGGCAAACGGGAGCGUAACACAUUGGUAACUCACUCCAGAGACGGGGAUAGCCCACCGAAAGGUGGAUUAAUACCCGAUGGUCAUGGGGGGUCAUAAGACAUUCCCAUGUAAAUCUUUUUUGGCUCUGGAAGAGGCCUAUGUCCUAUCAGCUAGUUGGUGAGGUAAAAGCUCACCAAGGCUAUGACGGGUACCGGGCGUGAGAGCGUGACCCGGCUCACUGGGACUGAGACACUGCCCAGACUCCUACGGGAGGCUGCAGUCAAGAAUCUUCCGCUUUGGCCGAAAGGCUGACGGAGCGACGCCGCGUGCAGGCUGCGCCCUUCGGGGUGUAAACUGC